GAUGAACGCUGGCGGCGUGCCUAAUACAUGCAAGUCGAGCGAACUGACGAGGAGCUUGCUCCUCUGACGUUAGCGGCGGACGGGUGAGUAACACGUGGAUAACCUACCUAUAAGACUGGGAUAACUUCGGGAAACCGGAGCUAAUGCCGGAUAAUAUAUUGAACCGCAUGGUUCAAUAGUGAAAGACGGUUUUGCUGUCACUUAUAGAUGGAUCCGCGCCGCAUUAGCUAGUUGGUAAGGUAACGGCUUACCAAGGCAACGAUGCGUAGCCGACCUGAGAGGGUGAUCGGCCACACUGGAACUGAGACACGGUCCAGACUCCUACGGGAGGCAGCAGUAGGGAAUCUUCCGCAAUGGGCGAAAGCUUGACGGAGCAACGCCGCGUGAGUGAUGAAGGUCUUCGGAUCGUAAAACUCUGUUAUUAGGGAAGAACAAAUGUGUAAGUAACUAUGCACGUCUUGACGGUACCUAAUCAGAAAGCCACGGCUAACUACGUG
This 497-nucleotide ribosomal RNA is filed under the name uncultured bacterium. Its description in RNAcentral is "partial 16S ribosomal RNA". It matches the Rfam family "Bacterial small subunit ribosomal RNA", at positions 28 to 507 of the family's 1533-position model. The record is from RNAcentral.